UACACACACAUACAGACACUCACAUACAGACACUCACAUACAGACACACAUACCUUUCCCUGGGGUCCAGUGGUGGCUCAGGCUGAUGGGAGUCAGAGUUCCCACUCUGACUCCCUCUCCCUCCUUCCGCGCGGCUCUUGUGGUUGCUGGGAGGAAGUGACCGGGGCAGUCCCGAUGGGCCUCUUUAAUUCGGCCGCAUCACUCAGCUGGCGGGAUCCCCGUUUGCAGGGGACCGCAGGGUGUCCGGGCCCCCUGAAGUGACGGGCCGAGUCGCAGCUGUGACCCCUGCGACCGUUGUAGUUCCG
Molecule: non-coding RNA, 305 nt
Organism: Pelobates cultripes (western spadefoot toad)
Lineage: Eukaryota; Metazoa; Chordata; Amphibia; Anura; Pelobatidae
Source: the annotation of a GenBank genome assembly